Molecule: transfer RNA, 73 nt
Filed under: Cordylochernes scorpioides
Lineage: Eukaryota; Metazoa; Arthropoda; Arachnida; Pseudoscorpiones; Chernetidae
Description: tRNA-Thr
Rfam family: tRNA
About the family: Transfer RNA (tRNA) molecules are approximately 80 nucleotides in length. Their secondary structure includes four short double-helical elements and three loops (D, anti-codon, and T loops). Further hydrogen bonds mediate the characteristic L-shaped molecular structure. tRNAs have two regions of fundamental functional importance: the anti-codon, which is responsible for specific mRNA codon recognition, and the 3' end, to which the tRNAs corresponding amino acid is attached (by aminoacyl-tRNA synthetases). tRNAs cope with the degeneracy of the genetic code in two manners: having more than one tRNA (with a specific anti-codon) for a particular amino acid; and 'wobble' base-pairing, i.e. permitting non-standard base-pairing at the 3rd anti-codon position.
Source: RNAcentral
UCCAGGGUAGCCUAGUGGACAUGGCAUCUGCCCGGUAAGCGGAACACUGUGGGUUCGGUUCCCAUCCCUGGAC